GAUGAACGCUGGCGGCGUCCCUAAUACAUGCAAGUCGAACGCGCAGCGAAAGGUGCUUGCACCUUUCAAGCGAGUGGCGAACGGGUGAGUAACACGUGGAUAACCUGCCUCAAGGCUGGGGAUAACAUUUGGAAACAGAUGCUAAUACCGAAUAAAACUUAGUAUCGCAUGAUACAAAGUUAAAAGGCGCUACGGCGUCACCUAGAGAUGGAUCCGCGGUGCAUUAGUUAGUUGGUGGGGUAAAGGCUUACCAAGACGAUGAUGCAUAGCCGAGUUGAGAGACGGAGCGGCCACAUUGGGACUGGGACACGGCCCAAACUCCUACGGGAGGCUGCAGUAGGGAAUCUUCCACAAUGGGCGCAAGCCUGAUGGGGCAACGCCGCGUGUGUGAUGAAGGCUCUCGGGUCGUAAAGCACUGUUGUAUGGGAAGAAAUGCUAAAAUAGGGAAUGAUUUUAGUUUGACGGUACCAUACCAGAAAGGGACGGCUAAAUACGUGCCAGCAGCCGCCGUAA
Molecule: ribosomal RNA, 513 nt
Filed under: uncultured bacterium
Lineage: Bacteria
Description: partial 16S ribosomal RNA
Rfam family: Bacterial small subunit ribosomal RNA
Source: RNAcentral